Cyprinodon variegatus (sheepshead minnow) is the source of this 579-nucleotide long non-coding RNA. RefSeq lists it as uncharacterized. The record is from RefSeq and is a predicted model, not a curated record. The transcript is spliced from 3 exons. NCBI's taxonomy places the organism in Eukaryota, Metazoa, Chordata, Actinopteri, Cyprinodontiformes, Cyprinodontidae.
CUUCACAGCCGUUUCUCUCGUCAUCCCGUCAAAGCCGUCCCUCUCCGGUAUUUUAAACUUUCCUUCACGGAAUCGGAUCCGCUUUCAUUUUAACUUCUGCAAAAUGAGUUUAUAAGCAGCAGUGUUGGCUUGAACUUUCCGAGGGGGUACGCUUUGGUUUGGUCUGUUUUCCGGGGCGCACGGCGUGUUUUUUUGCGCUCUCUGCCACCAUGGAUAAACCGCGUCCUGCGGAUCCGUCCUACUCCUUCUGUGGGGCAAAAUGAGGCAAACGAAGCAGAGACGCAGGUUGAGAGAGUCUGGGAGGUCUGUGCGUAACUCCACUGAAAUAAUAGAUGAAACAAACUCCUUGAUCUGAGAAGAGAAUGUGGAGACAAGAUAAGGAGGAUCUGGCACCAAUAUGAGAGACACGCAUAUGCAUCAAGAUGAUGACAGGAAUUACCAGACCCGCUGAGUCUCAUCAGGAGAGAACCAUUCCUUCAGAAACAUCAAAAUCAGAGGCUAAAUUGUUAGACGUUUCAGUACAAACUGACAGAAGAGGCUAAGGGGUGUUUGGAACUUCAUAUACACAAUAUACCUGGG